UUCGACCGGUUCAGCUGUUCUGGAACUACUGGCGUUGACGGAUUUUGAGUUUGAAGCACGGAUUUCGAGAAAAUCCAAAAAAUACGUGUUUUAUAUGUAUUUUGUGCGUAGUUUCUUCUGUUGGAGAGAGGAACGGAUUUCGUUGCGAAUCCGUGAUCGUUCGAGGUGAACCAAAAUCGUAGCUUCGUUGUCUCUGAGGUGCUGAUCGUACUGGUGCGAUCCGUUCGCAAAUCUGACGGACGGAUCUGCGGAGAUCGCGCGUUGAUCGAGGAUAGGUCGGCGUUGGCAAAACGAUAUUUUCGCAAAAGUCGAGACAUUUUAUGUACCGAAUCGCGUGAAACCGGACGUGGAGGGGUAUCCGCGCGAUUUA
RNAcentral lists this long non-coding RNA (370 nucleotides) under Ananas comosus (pineapple). RNAcentral describes it as "long non-coding RNA (ACOM_LNC023877)". The record is from RNAcentral. Lineage: Eukaryota; Viridiplantae; Streptophyta; Magnoliopsida; Poales; Bromeliaceae.